AUUGAACGCUGGCGGCAGGCCUAACACAUGCAAGUCGAGCGGAUGAAGGGAGCUUGCUCCUGGAUUCAGCGGCGGACGGGUGAGUAAUGCCUAGGAAUCUGCCUGGUGUGGGGGGUAACGGCCGGGAACCGGCCCUAAUUCCGCCUACGGUCCUAGGGGGGAAGGGGGGGAUCUUUGGGCCUCACGCUUUCCAAUGAGCCUAGGUCGGAUUAGCUAGUUGGUGGGGUAAAGGCCUACCAAGGCGACGAUCCGUAACUGGUCUGAGAGGAUGAUCAGUCACACUGGAACUGAGACACGGUCCAGACUCCUACGGGAGGCAGCAGUGGGGAAUAUUGGACAAUGGGCGAAAGCCUGAUCCAGCCAUGCCGCGUGUGUGAAGAAGGUCUUCGGAUUGUAAAGCACUUUAAGUUGGGAGGAAGGGCAGUAAGUUAAUACCUUGCUGUUUUGACGUUACCAACAGAAUAAGCACCGGCUAACUUCGUG
Molecule: ribosomal RNA, 483 nt
Filed under: uncultured bacterium
Lineage: Bacteria
Description: partial 16S ribosomal RNA
Rfam family: Bacterial small subunit ribosomal RNA
Source: RNAcentral